AUGCACUGCAGGUGGCAUAUUAUCAAGAAGGCUGAGGAGAUGCUAGGACCAUUCUUUGCUGACCGUCCAGAGCUGCACAAGGCAUUCGAGUUGUGUGUGGACCACAGCUUGACGAUGGAGGAGUUUAAACGAAGCUGGACAGCUAUGAUUGGAACAUAUCAAACUACGCAGCUCAGCGAGGGGUUCAAUGCUGUUUUGAAGCGGUACAUGAGCCCUGGCAACUCAUUGCUGCAGUUUGCCAAUCAAUACACCGCUUUGCAACAAAAAAUACUGGGAUCUGAGCUACAACAAGAAGCAAAGACCGCGCUCAAGCAGCCUAAAUUGCUAACAUAUUUAUCGAUGGAAAGGCAGAUGAGCAAGAUAUAUACGAACAAGAUUUUUAACAAGUGA
This 390-nucleotide ribosomal RNA is filed under the name Triticum aestivum (bread wheat). Its description in RNAcentral is "partial small subunit ribosomal RNA". Lineage: Eukaryota; Viridiplantae; Streptophyta; Magnoliopsida; Poales; Poaceae. The record is from RNAcentral.